Molecule: ribosomal RNA, 408 nt
Filed under: uncultured bacterium
Lineage: Bacteria
Description: bacterial SSU rRNA
Rfam family: Bacterial small subunit ribosomal RNA
Source: RNAcentral
UGGGGAAUAUUGCGCAAUGGGCGAAAGCCUGACGCAGCGACGCCGCGUGAGGGAUGAAGGCCUUCGGGUUGUAAACCUCUUUCAGCAGGGACGAAGCGAAAGUGACGGUACCUGCAGAAGAAGCACCGGCUAACUACGUGCCAGCAGCCGCGGUAAUACGUAGGGUGCAAGCGUUGUCCGGAUUUAUUGGGCGUAAAGAGCUCGUAGGCGGUCUGUCGCGUCGGAUGUGAAAACCCAGGGCUCAACCCUGGGCCUGCAUUCGAUACGGGCAGACUAGAGUAUGGCAGGGGAGACUGGAAUUCCUGGUGUAGCGGUGAAAUGCGCAGAUAUCAGGAGGAACACCGGUGGCGAAGGCGGGUCUCUGGGCCAAAACUGACGCUGAGGAGCGAAAGCGUGGGGAGCGAACAG